AGUCCAUCAAAGGUCAAUGUGCUCCAAAAAUAAAAAUUAAUAAAAAAAAAAAUUACAACUAUAGGUAGUAGGGAUUUAAAGAUAUUAUUAAACAUACGCGCUGGCGUGACGUUACGAAAAACAGAAGUGGAUUUUGACUCGGGUUACAAAAUUGCAAAACUUCGCGAAUUGAGCAAGACUAUUUGUAUGAAUAUUUUUGUAGUAUACAGGAAAUGUUUAAGGUGAAUUUUCCAAUUUUCUAAAUGUAGAUACUUUUCUGCUUUACCUAUAUUUAUUCAGCUGAAUUAUCUGACGCGACGUUACCUGGCGUUACGUUACAAACGUUCGCUAGGGUGGAAAAGAAUAAUUCGAGCUUAAGACUCAAACAGAAACCUCCAAAUUUAUUCAGAAAUUUUGUAUACUACAUAGUUUUUGGGUAGCUUCAUAUUUCUGGAGGUGUUCCGAAAGAAACUAAUACCUUUUUCAUACAAAUUAUGUCCACCUUAAUGUAUAUAUACGUACCUCCGAAAUUUCUUACAUAUAUAUGUAUAUACAUACAUAUCUAUGUAUAACCAUACAUGUAUAAAUAUCUAAAGCAAUCCCUGUUGACUAAGUAACCGGUUAUGGAUAGGUGAAAAAUCAUUUUAAAUGUAUACAUAUCCGUUUCGAAAUUAGAACUAUUUAUGAUGGUAAACGGUGAAUAUUUAAUGCCCAUGACCACCAAACGAAUGGCUGCCAAUUAAUCCAAACGAUCCUCCAAAUGUUAGUGGAGUAAACUACGUAGAUUCCCAAAUGCAAUACAGAGCAACCCAAAAAUCAAAUCGAACGAUCCACAAUUAGGACACGAAAGCUAUUUUUGUUGGCCUUUGAAUUCAAC
Molecule: long non-coding RNA, 856 nt
Organism: Rhagoletis zephyria (snowberry fruit fly)
Lineage: Eukaryota; Metazoa; Arthropoda; Insecta; Diptera; Tephritidae
Source: RefSeq, a predicted model, not a curated record